RNAcentral lists this ribosomal RNA (566 nucleotides) under Pseudomonas sp. CRT13. RNAcentral describes it as "bacterial SSU rRNA". It matches the Rfam family "Bacterial small subunit ribosomal RNA", at positions 77 to 639 of the family's 1533-position model. Lineage: Bacteria; Pseudomonadati; Pseudomonadota; Gammaproteobacteria; Pseudomonadales; Pseudomonadaceae. The record is from RNAcentral.
AGCUUGCUCUCUGAUUCAGCGGCGGACGGGUGAGUAAUGCCUAGGAAUCUGCCUGAUAGUGGGGGACAACGUUUCGAAAGGAACGCUAAUACCGCAUACGUCCUACGGGAGAAAGCAGGGGACCUUCGGGCCUUGCGCUAUCAGAUGAGCCUAGGUCGGAUUAGCUAGUUGGUGAGGUAACGGCUCACCAAGGCGACGAUCCGUAACUGGUCUGAGAGGAUGAUCAGUCACACUGGAACUGAGACACGGUCCAGACUCCUACGGGAGGCAGCAGUGGGGAAUAUUGGACAAUGGGCGAAAGCCUGAUCCAGCCAUGCCGCGUGUGUGAAGAAGGUCUUCGGAUUGUAAAGCACUUUAAGUUGGGAGGAAGGGCAUUAACCUAAUACGUUAGUGUUUUGACGUUACCGACAGAAUAAGCACCGGCUAACUUCGUGCCAGCAGCCGCGGUAAUACGAAGGGUGCAAGCGUUAAUCGGAAUUACUGGGCGUAAAGCGCGCGUAGGUGGUUUGUUAAGUUGAAUGUGAAAGCCCCGGGCUCAACCUGGGAACUGCAUCCAAAACUGGCAA